AGGGCACCACCAGGAGUGGAGCCUGCGGCUUAAUUUGACUCAACACGGGGAAACUUACCCGGCCUGGACACUGGAAGGAUUGACAGAUUGAGAGCUCUUUCUUGAUUCAGUGGGUGGUGGUGCAUGGCCGUUCUUAGUUGGUGGAGCGAUUUGUCUGGUUAAUUCCGAUAACGAACGAGACUCUAGCCUAUUAAAUAGGCUCUCGGCUUUUAAACGCCGGGAGGACUUCUUAGAGGGACAGGUGGCGGUUCAGCCGCACGAAAGAGAGCAAUAACAGGUCUGUGAUGCCCUUUGUUGUCCGGGGCCGCACGCGCGCUACACUGAGGAGAUCAGCGUGCUUUACGUUCCUGCUCCGACCGGAGUGGGGAACCCAGUGAACCUUCUUCGUGAUUGGGAUAGAAGAUUGUAAUUAUUCUUCUUGAACGAGGAAUUCCCAGUAAAUGCGAGUCAUAAGCUCGCGUUGAUUACGUCCCUGCCCUUUGUACACACCGCCCGUCGCUACUACCGAUUGAACGAUUU
Molecule: ribosomal RNA, 519 nt
Filed under: uncultured eukaryote
Lineage: Eukaryota
Description: SSU rRNA
Rfam family: Eukaryotic small subunit ribosomal RNA
Source: RNAcentral